AUGAACGCUAGCGAUAGGCUUAACACAUGCAAGUCGAGGGGCAGCAUGGUCUUAGCUUGCUCAGACUGAUGGCGACCGGCGCACGGGUGCGUAACGCGUAUGCAACUUGCCUCACAGAGGGGGAUAACCCGUCGAAAGACGGACUAAUACCGCGUACACUCUAUGUUGGGCAUCCAAUGUAGAGGAAAUGAAAUUCGCUGUGAGAUAGGCAUGCGUCCCAUUAGCUAGUUGGUGAGGUAACGGCUCACCAAGGCGACGAUGGGUAGGGGAACUGAGAGGUUGAACCCCCACACUGGUACUGAGACACGGACCAGACUCCUACGGGAGGCAGCAGUGAGGAAUAUUGGUCAAUGGGCGAGAGCCUGAACCAGCCAAGUCGCGUGAAGGAUGACUGUCUUAUGGAUUGUAAACUUCUUUUAUACGGGAAUAACAAGAGCCACGUGUGGCUCCCUGCAUGUACCGUAUGAAUAAGCAUCGGCUAACUCCGUG
This 489-nucleotide ribosomal RNA is filed under the name uncultured bacterium. RNAcentral describes it as "partial 16S ribosomal RNA". It matches the Rfam family "Bacterial small subunit ribosomal RNA", at positions 29 to 507 of the family's 1533-position model. The record is from RNAcentral.